GGCGGCGUGCCUAAUACAUGCAAGUAGAACGCUGAAGGAGGAGCUUGCUUCUCCGGAUGAGUUGCGAACGGGUGAGUAACGCGUAGGUAACCUGCCUGGUAGCGGGGGAUAACUAUUGGAAACGAUAGCUAAUACCGCAUAAGAGUAGAUGUUGCAUGACAUUUGCUUAAAAGGUGCAAUUGCAUCACUACCAGAUGGACCUGCGUUGUAUUAGCUAGUUGGUGGGGUAACGGCUCACCAAGGCGACGAUACAUAGCCGACCUGAGAGGGUGAUCGGCCACACUGGGACUGAGACACGGCCCAGACUCCUACGGGAGGCAGCAGUAGGGAAUCUUCGGCAAUGGACGGAAGUCUGACCGAGCAACGCCGCGUGAGUGAAGAAGGUUUUCGGAUCGUAAAGCUCUGUUGUAAGAGAAGAACGAGUGUGAGAGUGGAAAGUUCACACUGUGACG
RNAcentral lists this ribosomal RNA (452 nucleotides) under Streptococcus mitis. RNAcentral's name for it is "bacterial SSU rRNA". It matches the Rfam family "Bacterial small subunit ribosomal RNA", at positions 38 to 474 of the family's 1533-position model. The record is from RNAcentral. Lineage: Bacteria; Bacillati; Bacillota; Bacilli; Lactobacillales; Streptococcaceae.